This 272-nucleotide ribosomal RNA is filed under the name uncultured bacterium. Its description in RNAcentral is "partial 16S ribosomal RNA". It matches the Rfam family "Bacterial small subunit ribosomal RNA", at positions 68 to 339 of the family's 1533-position model. The record is from RNAcentral.
UGAGUAGCUUGCUAUGAGCUGUUUUAGCGGCGGACGGGUGAGUAACGCGUGAGCAACCUUUCCCAGACAGGGGGAUAACGCACCGAAAGGUGCACUAAUACCGCAUAAGACCACGGCACUGACAUGGUGCAGGGGUCAAAGGAGCAAUCCGGUGGAAGAUGGGCUCGCGUCUGAUUAGCUAGUUGGUGAGGUAACGGCCCACCUAGUCUUCGAUGGAUAGGGGUUCUGAGAGGAAGGUCCCCACAUUGGAACUGAGACACGGUCCAAACUCC